GCACCGGCUAACUCCGUGCCAGCAGCCGCGGUAAUACGGAGGGUGCGAGCGUUAAUCGGAAUUACUGGGCGUAAAGGGUGCGUAGGUGGUUUAUUAAGUUAUCUGUGAAAUCCCUGGGCUUAACCUGGGCAGGUCAGAUAAGACUGAUGGACUCGUGUAUGGGAGAGGGUAGUGGAAUUUCCGGUGUAGCGGUGAAAUGCGUAGAGAUCGGAAGGAACACCAGUGGCGAAGGCGGCUACCUGGCCUAAUACUGACACUGAGGCACGAAAGCGUGGGGAGCAAAC
This 284-nucleotide ribosomal RNA is filed under the name Legionella pneumophila. RNAcentral's name for it is "partial 16S ribosomal RNA". It matches the Rfam family "Bacterial small subunit ribosomal RNA", at positions 490 to 773 of the family's 1533-position model. The record is from RNAcentral. Lineage: Bacteria; Pseudomonadati; Pseudomonadota; Gammaproteobacteria; Legionellales; Legionellaceae.